RNAcentral lists this ribosomal RNA (233 nucleotides) under uncultured bacterium. RNAcentral's name for it is "partial 16S ribosomal RNA". It matches the Rfam family "Bacterial small subunit ribosomal RNA", at positions 100 to 334 of the family's 1533-position model. The record is from RNAcentral.
CGGGACGGGUGAGUAAUGUCUGGGAAACUGCCCGAUGGAGGGGGAUAACUACUGGAAACGGUAGCUAAUACCGCAUAACGUCGCAAGACCAAAGAGGGGGACCUUCGGGCCUCUUGCCAUCGGAUGUGCCCAGAUGGGAUUAGCUAGUAGGUGGGGUAACGGCUCACCUAGGCGACGAUCCCUAGCUGGUCUGAGAGGAUGACCAGCCACACUGGGACUGAGACACGGCCCAG